Molecule: ribosomal RNA, 489 nt
Filed under: uncultured bacterium
Lineage: Bacteria
Description: partial 16S ribosomal RNA
Rfam family: Bacterial small subunit ribosomal RNA
Source: RNAcentral
GACGAACGCUGGCGGCGUGCUUAACACAUGCAAGUCGAACGGUGAGGGGAUCAGCUUGCUGGUUCUGGAUGAGUGGCGAACGGGUGAGUAACACGUGAGUAACCUGCCCCCUUCUUCUGGAUAACCGCAUGAAAGUGUGGCUAAUACGGGAUAUUCUGCGCCUGCUGCAUGGUGGGUGUGGGAAAGAUAUUGUUUCGGUGGGGGAUGGGCUCGCGGCCUAUCAGCUUGUUGGUGGGGUGAUGGCCUACCAAGGCGGUGACGGGUAGCCGGCCUGAGAGGGUGGACGGUCACACUGGGACUGAGACACGGCCCAGACUCCUACGGGAGGCAGCAGUGGGGAAUAUUGCACAAUGGGCGCAAGCCUGAUGCAGCGACGCCGCGUGAGGGAUGGAGGCCUUCGGGUUGUGAACCUCUUUCGCCAGUGAAGCAGGCCUGUCCCUUGUGGGUGGGUUGACGGUAGCUGGAUAAGAAGCGCCGGCUAACUACGUG